UACGUAGGUGGCAAGCGUUAUCCGGAUUUAUUGGGCGUAAAGGGAACGCAGGCGGUCUUUUAAGUCUGAUGUGAAAGCCUUCGGCUUAACCUGAGUAGUGCAUUGGAAACUGGGAGACUUGAGUGCAGAAGAGGAGAGUGGAACUCCAUGUGUAGCGGUGAAAUGCGUAGAUAUAUGGAAGAACACCAGUGGCGAAAGCGGCUCUCUGGUCUGUAACUGACGCUGAGGUUCGAAAGCGUGGGUAGCAAACAGG
Molecule: ribosomal RNA, 253 nt
Filed under: uncultured bacterium
Lineage: Bacteria
Description: partial 16S ribosomal RNA
Rfam family: Bacterial small subunit ribosomal RNA
Source: RNAcentral